This 314-nucleotide ribosomal RNA is filed under the name uncultured bacterium. Its description in RNAcentral is "partial 16S ribosomal RNA". It matches the Rfam family "Bacterial small subunit ribosomal RNA", at positions 499 to 807 of the family's 1533-position model. The record is from RNAcentral.
GUAUAAGAGACAGCAGUAGCCGCGGGAAUACGUAGGUGGCAAGCGUUGCCCGGAAUUAUUGGGCGUAAAGCGAGCGCAGGCGGUCAAUUAAGUCUGAUGUGAAAGCCCCCGGCUCAACCGGGGAGGGUCAUUGGAAACUGGUUGACUUGAGUGCAGAAGAGGAGAGUGGAAUUCCAUGUGUAGCGGUGAAAUGCGUAGAUAUAUGGAGGAACACCAGUGGCGAAGGCGACUCUCUGGUCUGUAACUGACGCUGAGGCUCGAAAGCGUGGGUAGCAAACAGGAUUAGAUACCCCCGUAGUCCCUGUCUCUUAUAC